CAAGACAACAGUGCUCAAAAUGUUCUCGUUGGCAUUCAACCCCUCUUUGCAUUCACUGCCAGAAAACCGCAUCCAAUUUGUUCACAAGUUAUCGUAUUGUACAGUCAGCCAUGCAAUGACUCGUGCACCAUUUCCUGAUGGAUCUCAGCUUGAAAUUGAAGGCAUAAGGAGAAUGAGCCCCGUUCGGUUCGCGCCCUCAAACGAGCACUCACGACAUGG
This 219-nucleotide non-coding RNA is filed under the name Karenia brevis. Lineage: Eukaryota; Dinophyceae; Gymnodiniales; Kareniaceae. The record is from RNAcentral.